Molecule: ribosomal RNA, 1050 nt
Filed under: Clostridium sporogenes
Lineage: Bacteria; Bacillati; Bacillota; Clostridia; Eubacteriales; Clostridiaceae
Description: bacterial SSU rRNA
Rfam family: Bacterial small subunit ribosomal RNA
Source: RNAcentral
CGAGCGAUGAAGCUUCCUUCGGGAAGUGGAUUAGCGGCGGACGGGUGAGUAACACGUGGGUAACCUGCCUCAAAGUGGGGGAUAGCCUUCCGAAAGGAAGAUUAAUACCGCAUAAUAUAAGAGAAUCGCAUGAUUUUCUUAUCAAAGAUUUAUUGCUUUGAGAUGGACCCGCGGCGCAUUAGCUAGUUGGUAAGGUAACGGCUUACCAAGGCAACGAUGCGUAGCCGACCUGAGAGGGUGAUCGGCCACAUUGGAACUGAGACACGGUCCAGACUCCUACGGGAGGCAGCAGUGGGGAAUAUUGCGCAAUGGGGGAAACCCUGACGCAGCAACGCCGCGUGGGUGAUGAAGGUCUUCGGAUUGUAAAGCCCUGUUUUCUGGGACGAUAAUGACGGUACCAGAGGAGGAAGCCACGGCUAACUACGUGCCAGCAGCCGCGGUAAUACGUAGGUGGCGAGCGUUGUCCGGAUUUACUGGGCGUAAAGGGUGCGUAGGCGGAUGUUUAAGUGGGAUGUGAAAUCCCCGGGCUUAACCUGGGGGCUGCAUUCCAAACUGGAUAUCUAGAGUGCAGGAGAGGAAAGCGGAAUUCCUAGUGUAGCGGUGAAAUGCGUAGAGAUUAGGAAGAACACCAGUGGCGAAGGCGGCUUUCUGGACUGUAACUGACGCUGAGGCACGAAAGCGUGGGUAGCAAACAGGAUUAGAUACCCUGGUAGUCCACGCCGUAAACGAUGGAUACUAGGUGUAGGGGGUAUCAACUCCCCCUGUGCCGCAGUUAACACAAUAAGUAUCCCGCCUGGGGAGUACGGUCGCAAGAUUAAAACUCAAAGGAAUUGACGGGGGCCCGCACAAGCAGCGGAGCAUGUGGUUUAAUUCGAAGCAACGCGAAGAACCUUACCUGGACUUGACAUCCCUUGCAUAGCCUAGAGAUAGGUGAAGCCCUUCGGGGCAAGGAGACAGGUGGUGCAUGGUUGUCGUCAGCUCGUGUCGUGAGAUGUUAGGUUAAGUCCUGCAACGAGCGCAACCCUUGUUAUUAGUUGCUACCAUUAAGUU